CGGCCGCGUCGACGCAAGUCGAGCGCAUGAACCCGGCGGACCUCUUCGGAGGGAAACCGGGGGAUUGAGCGGCGGACGGGUGAGUAACACGUGGGCAACCUGCCCUUCAGACGGGGAUAACUCCGGGAAACCGGAGCUAAUACCCGAUAAUCAAGCCGAUCUCCUGAUCGGCUUGUAAAAGCAUGGUCUUCGGACCAUGCACUGGGGGAUGGGCCCGCGGCGUAUUAGCUAGUUGGAGAGGUAAUGGCUCCCCGAAGGCGACGAUACGUAGCCGACCUGAGAGGGUGAUCGGCCACACUGGGACUGAGACACGGCCCAGACUCCUACGGGAGGCAGCAGUAGGGAAUCAUCCGCAAUGGACGAAAGUCUGACGGUGCAACGCCGCGUGAGUGAUGAAGGUUUUCGGAAUCGUAAAGCUACUGUUAGUAGAGGGAAAGAACCAAAGGGGCGGUUUCGUAAACACGGGGUCCGCCCCCGUUAGACGGGUAACCCUCAACCCGAGAAAACGGCCCCCGGGUACUAAACCGUACCGUGACCCAGCAGCCGACGGUAAUACGUAGGGGCAAGUCGUUAGUCCGGAAUUAGUUCGGGCGUAAACGCGCGCGACCGG
Molecule: ribosomal RNA, 610 nt
Filed under: uncultured bacterium
Lineage: Bacteria
Description: bacterial SSU rRNA
Rfam family: Bacterial small subunit ribosomal RNA
Source: RNAcentral